This is a long non-coding RNA of Strigops habroptila (Kakapo), 99 nucleotides long. RefSeq lists it as uncharacterized. NCBI's taxonomy places the organism in Eukaryota, Metazoa, Chordata, Aves, Psittaciformes, Psittacidae. The transcript has 3 exons. The record is from RefSeq and is a predicted model, not a curated record.
AUCUGCCCUCUGUAACAACGUAAGUCCUAGAAUGAAAAGAUGUCAAAAAGUUGGUGUCUGAUGUUUAUAUAUCCUCUUCUAGAGAGGAGGCAAAAGUUC